AUGGCGCCCCCCUCCACCUCCACCUCCGCCUCCUCGGUCCUCCUCCUCCGCCGCCUCCCCUCCCCGGCCUCCGCCGCCCAGCGCCGCUGCCGCCUCGGCCCGCCGCCCCGCCUCCGCGCCGCCCGCCCGCGGGUCUCCCUCACCAGCGACGUCUCCUCCUCGUCCGACGUGGCCGAGGAGGAGGCCGAGCACGCGCCCAAGGUCGGCAGGCGCGUGCGCGUCACGGCGCCCCUCCGCGUCUACCACGUCGUCAAGGCGCCCGACCUGGACAUCCAGGGCAUGGAGGGCGUCAUCAAGCAGUACGUCGGCGUCUGGAAGGGCAAGCGCAUCACCGCCAACUUCCCCUUCAAGGUCGAGUUCCAGCUCACCGUCGACACCCAGCCCAAACCGGUCAAGCUCUUCGUCCACCUACGCGAGGACGAGUUCGAGUACAUCGCCGACGAAUGA
RNAcentral lists this ribosomal RNA (447 nucleotides) under Triticum aestivum (bread wheat). Its description in RNAcentral is "partial small subunit ribosomal RNA". Lineage: Eukaryota; Viridiplantae; Streptophyta; Magnoliopsida; Poales; Poaceae. The record is from RNAcentral.